RNAcentral lists this ribosomal RNA (800 nucleotides) under uncultured bacterium. RNAcentral's name for it is "bacterial SSU rRNA". It matches the Rfam family "Bacterial small subunit ribosomal RNA", at positions 222 to 1014 of the family's 1533-position model. The record is from RNAcentral.
CAGAUGUGCCCAGAUGGGAUUAGCUAGUAGGUGGGGUAACGGCUCACCUAGGCGACGAUCCCUAGCUGGUCUGAGAGGAUGACCAGCCACACUGGAACUGAGACACGGUCCAGACUCCUACGGGAGGCAGCAGUGGGGAAUAUUGCACAAUGGGCGCAAGCCUGAUGCAGCCAUGCCGCGUGUAUGAAGAAGGCCUUCGGGUUGUAAAGUACUUUCAGCGAGGAGGAAGGGGUUAAGGUUAAUAACCUUGGCCAUUGACGUUACUCGCAGAAGAAGCACCGGCUAACUCCGUGCCAGCAGCCGCGGUAAUACGGAGGGUGCAAGCGUUAAUCGGAAUUACUGGGCGUAAAGCGCACGCAGGCGGUCUGUCAAGUCGGAUGUGAAAUCCCCGGGCUCAACCUGGGAACUGCAUCCGAAACUGGCAGGCUUGAGUCUCGUAGAGGGGGGUAGAAUUCCAGGUGUAGCGGUGAAAUGCGUAGAGAUCUGGAGGAAUACCGGUGGCGAAGGCGGCCCCCUGGACGAAGACUGACGCUCAGGUGCGAAAGCGUGGGGAGCAAACAGGACUAGAUACCCUGGUAGUCCACGCCGUAAACGAUGUCGACUUGGAGGUUGUGCCCUUGAGGCGUGGCUUCCGGAGCUAACGCGUUAAGUCGACCGCCUGGGGAGUACGGCCGCAAGGUUAAAACUCAAAUGAAUUGACGGGGGCCCGCACAAGCGGUGGAGCAUGUGGUUUAAUUCGAUGCAACGCGAAGAACCUUACCUGGUCUUGACAUCCAGAGAAUCCUGCAGAGAUGCGGGAG